CUUCUUCGACGGUACUAACCUCUACGCGGUGAAGAAGAGACAACAGUUUCUGAUGAAACUGGCUAAUAAGUACCA
RNAcentral lists this ribozyme (75 nucleotides) under Caenorhabditis brenneri. RNAcentral's name for it is "HDV ribozyme from F. prausnitzii". It matches the Rfam family "HDV ribozyme from F. prausnitzii". Lineage: Eukaryota; Metazoa; Nematoda; Chromadorea; Rhabditida; Rhabditidae. The record is from Rfam by way of RNAcentral.